AGCGAACGCUGGCGGUAUGCUUAACACAUGCAAGUCGAGCGCGAAAGUGACUUCGGUCAUAAGUAGAGCGGCGGACGGGUGAGUAACACGUGGAUAAUCUGCCUUUAGGACUGGGAUAACCCUGGGAAACUAGGGCUAAUACCGGAUAAGACCACAGGUUCCAUGGAACCAGGGGUAAAAGGCGGCCUUCGGGCUGUCGCCGAAAGAUGAGUCCGCGUCCCAUCAGGUAGUUGGUGAGGUAACGGCUCACCAAGCCGAAGACGGGUAGCCGACCUUAGCGGGUGAUCGGCCACACGGGGACUGAGACACGGCCCCGACUCCUACGGGAGGCAGCAGUGGGGAAUCUUGGGCAAUGGGCGCAAGCCUGACCCAGCAAUACCGCGUGAGGGAUGAAGGCCUUCGGUCGU
This 407-nucleotide ribosomal RNA is filed under the name uncultured bacterium. Its description in RNAcentral is "bacterial SSU rRNA". It matches the Rfam family "Bacterial small subunit ribosomal RNA", at positions 29 to 426 of the family's 1533-position model. The record is from RNAcentral.